UCCUACGGGGGGCAGCAGUGGGGAAUAUUGCACAAUGGGGGAAACCCUGAUGCAGCAACGCCGCGUGAAGGAAGACGGUUUUCGGAUUGUAAACUUCUGUUCUUAGUGAAGAAGAAUGACGGUAGCUAAGGAGCAAGCCCCGGCUAACUACGUGCCAGCAGCCGCGGUAAUACGUAGGGAGCGAGCGUUGUCCGGAUUUACUGGGUGUAAAGGGUGCGUAGGCGGCUUGGCAAGUCAGUAGUGAAAUCCAUGGGCUUAACCCAUGAACUGCUAUUGAAACUGU
RNAcentral lists this ribosomal RNA (283 nucleotides) under uncultured bacterium. RNAcentral describes it as "partial 16S ribosomal RNA". It matches the Rfam family "Bacterial small subunit ribosomal RNA", at positions 337 to 636 of the family's 1533-position model. The record is from RNAcentral.